UAUAUCUUCAGCUGCUGAGGCGGCUGCUGGGCUGACUGGUGGCUUUGGCAAAAGAAAGAAUCUUACUGACCACUUCUUCGUGUUUGAACUUGGUUUAACAUCUGCUGCAACCCAUGAACGACAUGAUGCACAAACAUUGGCUAUCCCAAACAAAGAGGCAACUGUUGGGUUGACUGGUGGCUCUGGCAAAGAAAAGAAUCUUACUGACCACUUUUCCGUGUUUCAACUUGGUUUAACGUUUGGUGCACCCUAUGAACGACAUUAUCCACAGACAUUGGCUAUCCUCAACAAAG
Molecule: non-coding RNA, 293 nt
Organism: Nicotiana tabacum (common tobacco)
Lineage: Eukaryota; Viridiplantae; Streptophyta; Magnoliopsida; Solanales; Solanaceae
Source: RefSeq, a predicted model, not a curated record